GACGAACGCUGGCGGCGGGCUUAACACAUGCAAGUCGAACGGAAAGGCCCUGCUUUUGUGGGGUGCUCGAGUGGCGAACGGGUGAGUAACACGUGAGUAACCUGCCCUUGACUUUGGGAUAACUUCAGGAAACUGGGGCUAAUACCGGAUAGGAGCUCCUGCUGCAUGGUGGGGGGUGGAAAGUUUCGGCGGUUGGGGAUGGACUCGCGGCUUAUCAGCUUGUUGGUGGGGUAGUGGCUUACCAAGGCUUUGACGGGUAGCCGGCCUGAGAGGGUGACCGGCCACAAUGGGACUGAGAUACGGCCCAGACUCCUACGGGAGGCAGCAGUGGGGAAUAUUGCACAAUGGGCGGAAGCCUGAUGCAGCAACGCCGCGUGCGGGAUGACGGCCUUCGGGUUGUAAACCGCUUUCGCCUGUGACGAAGCGUGAGUGACGGUAAUGGGUAAAGAAGCACCGGCUAACUACGUG
This 468-nucleotide ribosomal RNA is filed under the name uncultured bacterium. Its description in RNAcentral is "partial 16S ribosomal RNA". It matches the Rfam family "Bacterial small subunit ribosomal RNA", at positions 28 to 507 of the family's 1533-position model. The record is from RNAcentral.